GAGAUGGCUCCCACGUCCAAGGAUGGCAGCAGGCGCGAAAAUUGUCCACUCUUUUGAGAGGAGACAGUUAUGAAACGUGAGUAGAAGGGUCGAGUGUAAAAACCUUGACGUGAAGCAAUUGGAGGGCAAGUUUUGGUGCCAGCAGCCGCGGUAAUUCCAACUCCAAGAGUGUCUAUGGUGGAUGCUGCAGUUAAAGGGUCCGUAGUCGUAGAUGCAAUUAAAAGGUGGUGUUAAAAGCCAUUGAGUUUGUUGAGAGUAGCGGAACGGAUAGGGAGCAUGGUAUAGGUGGGCAAAGAAUGAAAUCUCAAGACCCCACCUGGACCAACGGAGGCGAAAGCGAUGCUCUUAGACGUAUCUGGGGAUCAAGGACGAAGGCUAGAGUAUCGAAAGUGAUUAGACACCGCUGUAGUUCUAGCAGUAAACUAUGCCGACAAUGCUGGGUGUGCGAGAGCG
Molecule: ribosomal RNA, 453 nt
Filed under: Ecytonucleospora hepatopenaei
Lineage: Eukaryota; Fungi; Microsporidia; Enterocytozoonidae
Description: bacterial SSU rRNA
Rfam family: Microsporidia small subunit ribosomal RNA
Source: RNAcentral